GGCAUCUGUUCUGCAAGAAAAGGGAAGCCUAUUGGAGUUGGUGGAUCCAGCCUUGGGCUCAGAUUAUUCAUCAGAAGAAGCAAUGGUGAUGCUGAAUGUGGCUCUCCUCUGCACCAACGCAUCCCCAACUCUGCGGCCUCUAAUGUCCCAAGUCGUCAGCAUGCUCGAAGGUCGAACUCCAGUGCAAGCACUUCUUUCUGACCCAGG
RNAcentral lists this unclassified non-coding RNA (207 nucleotides) under Hevea brasiliensis (rubber tree). Lineage: Eukaryota; Viridiplantae; Streptophyta; Magnoliopsida; Malpighiales; Euphorbiaceae. The record is from RNAcentral.